CAUGCAUUUUCGACUCGGGAGAAAGCUCUCGUAGGUCGACAACUUUUGCCCGCAAAAUCAAACGCACAUGCUGGACAUUGCAUACAUGCCUUUAGAGGGGUCGUCGCAUCAAUUGUCCCCCCAAAAGCACGAGAAAUUUUGGUGCGGCCGAGACCGCGCAAGUUUUCCAACAGGCAACAGACGUCGACGACGAUCAGUCGCAGCAGCUGGGCGCUCGUCCUUCUAAUCGAUCACGACGCCUCUACUCACCGGGCCGGCCUUGCUAGCUGCGGAGUAGUUGUGGAAUGUGGAUGUCUACAACGACAUUUAGUGUUGAAACAAUAAUUAUUAGCUAGCUAGCCAAACACCUAAACUGUACAGUAUAUGGACAUGUUAACGGUUAAAACACAAACUUAGCCAACCAAGUUAUACUUACUACAUGAUGCUAUUUAUUCAGUUCUACAUGCCCCUCGAUAAUCUCAAGAUCAAUCUAAUCACUUUGGACACGCGUGUGUGUAGUCAUACAGGUGUGAUACUACUAAAAAAACUUAACCGUGACGGACAAAAGGCAUUAACCGAGACGGUUUUUGUAACCGUCUCCGUCGAAAGGUCACGAUAAAUCAAUGAUUUAUCGAGACGGUUGUCAUGCCCGCCACGAUAAAUAAAAUAAAAAACAAAAAAACCCAUGGACAGGCCCAACGAGCCCAUCCAUAGGCCCGCCGAGCUCAUCAUGGGUUGCCGCCGCUGUCGUCGCUCAUCGCCGGGUCUGGUAUCCCCGCCACCAUAUCCUCCCCCAUGGACACCCGAUCCAGCCUCAGGGCCGCCGCCGCCAUGCUUGUGGAGAGGGAAACGGUGCUAGGGUUUCGAGGGGAGGGGGCGCCACCAUUGC
Molecule: long non-coding RNA, 868 nt
Filed under: Sorghum bicolor (sorghum)
Lineage: Eukaryota; Viridiplantae; Streptophyta; Magnoliopsida; Poales; Poaceae
Description: long non-coding RNA (SBIC_LNC011410)
Source: RNAcentral